Molecule: ribosomal RNA, 221 nt
Filed under: Klebsiella sp. AGR37
Lineage: Bacteria; Pseudomonadati; Pseudomonadota; Gammaproteobacteria; Enterobacterales; Enterobacteriaceae
Description: partial 16S ribosomal RNA
Rfam family: Bacterial small subunit ribosomal RNA
Source: RNAcentral
GGUCUGGACAUCCAAAGAAAAAAGCAGAGAUGCUUKGGUGCCUUGGGGAACUGUGAGACAGGUGYUGCAUGGCUGUSGUCAGCUCGUGUKGUGAAAUGUKGGGUUAAGUCCCRCAACGAGCGCAMCCCUUAUCCUUUGUUGCCAGCGGUCCGGCCGGGMACUCAAAGGAGACUCCUUUUAUAACUGGAGGAAGGUGGGGAGCGUCAAGUCAUCAGACCCUU